AGGAGGAACAACCACAGUGGCGGCGGCCAGCUCUGGAGCCUUGGAUUCAUUUCCCGCAGGAACUGCAGAGCUCUCAGCCUGGAGGGGCCUGGGUGUUCCGGGGGCGG
This 107-nucleotide microRNA precursor is filed under the name Canis lupus familiaris (dog). RNAcentral's name for it is "mir-8834 microRNA precursor family". It matches the Rfam family "mir-8834 microRNA precursor family". Lineage: Eukaryota; Metazoa; Chordata; Mammalia; Carnivora; Canidae. The record is from Rfam by way of RNAcentral. RNAcentral also lists the same sequence under 1 other name.